This 253-nucleotide ribosomal RNA is filed under the name uncultured bacterium. RNAcentral's name for it is "partial 16S ribosomal RNA". It matches the Rfam family "Bacterial small subunit ribosomal RNA", at positions 524 to 776 of the family's 1533-position model. The record is from RNAcentral.
UACGAAGGGGGCUAGCGUUGUUCGGAAUUACUGGGCGUAAAGGGCGCGUAGGCGGCCUGUUAAGUCGAACGUGAAAUCCCCGGGCUCAACCCGGGAACUGCGUCCGAUACUGGCAGGCUUGAAUUCGGGAGAGGGAUGCGGAAUUCCAGGUGUAGCGGUGAAAUGCGUAGAUAUCUGGAGGAACACCGGUGGCGAAGGCGGCAUCCUGGACCGAGAUUGACGCUGAGGCGCGAAAGCCAGGGGAGCAAACAGG